This 639-nucleotide ribosomal RNA is filed under the name uncultured Actinomycetes bacterium. RNAcentral describes it as "bacterial SSU rRNA". It matches the Rfam family "Bacterial small subunit ribosomal RNA", at positions 232 to 885 of the family's 1533-position model. The record is from RNAcentral. Lineage: Bacteria; Bacillati; Actinomycetota; Actinomycetes.
CGCGGCCUAUCAGCUUGUUGGUGAGGUAAAGGCUCACCAAGGCAUCGACGGGUAGCUGGUCUGAGAGGACGAUCAGCCACACUGGGACUGAGAUACGGCCCAGACUCCUACGGGAGGCAGCAGUAGGGAAUCUUGCGCAAUGGGCGAAAGCCUGACGCAGCAACGCCGCGUGGGGGAAGAAGGCUCUAGGGUCGUAAACCCCUUUCAGCAGGGACGAAAAUGACGGUACCUGCAGAAGAAGCGCCGGCCAACUACGUGCCAGCAGCCGCGGUAAUACGUAGGGCGCAAGCGUUGUCCGGAUUUAUUGGGCGUAAAGGGCUCGUAGGCGGUUUGGUAAGUCGGGUGUGAAAACUCAGGGCUCAACUCUGAGGCGCCACUCGAUACUGCCAUGACUAGAGUCCGGUAGGGGAGUGCGGAAUUCCUGGUGUAGCGGUGAAAUGCGCAGAUAUCAGGAGGAACACCAACAGCGAAGGCAGCACUCUGGGCCGGUACUGACGCUGAGGAGCGAAAGCGUGGGGAGCAAACAGGAUUAGAUACCCUGGUAGUCCACGCCGUAAACGUUGGGCACUAGGUGUGGGUCCCAUCUAACGGGAUCCGCGCCGCAGCUAACGCAUUAAGUGCCCCGCCUGGGGAGUACGG